CGUCUCAGUUCGGAUUGCAGGCUGCAACCCGCCUGCAUGAAGCCGGAAUCGCUAGUAAUCGCGGAUCAGAAUGCCGCGGUGAAUACGUUCCCGGGUCUUGUACACACCGCCCGUCACACCAUGGGAGUCGAUAACGCCCGAAGUCAGUGACCUAACCGAGAGGGAGGAGCUGCCGAAGGCGGGAUGGAUAACUGGGGUGAAGUCGUAACAAGGUAAC
This 217-nucleotide ribosomal RNA is filed under the name uncultured bacterium. Its description in RNAcentral is "partial 16S ribosomal RNA". It matches the Rfam family "Bacterial small subunit ribosomal RNA", at positions 1284 to 1500 of the family's 1533-position model. The record is from RNAcentral.